This 1520-nucleotide long non-coding RNA is filed under the name Oryza brachyantha (malo sina). RNAcentral's name for it is "long non-coding RNA (OBRA_LNC000142)". The record is from RNAcentral. Lineage: Eukaryota; Viridiplantae; Streptophyta; Magnoliopsida; Poales; Poaceae.
GAGUGGGAGUAGAUUAGUUUCCUAAUAUGAUUUUGUCAGAUUUUUCCUAUUAGGACUUCUUAAUUUCUCUUUCUAUAUUCUUGUAAGCUGCACGGGAUUGGGCGCGAUGCCUCGGUGUAUUAUUGCCGGUUGACGUUCAUGUUUUUUUUUCUCAUAAGGGUUCUUCACGUUAAAUCCGCUUCUCGGUUAUACGUCGAUUUUCCUAACAAGUGGUAUUAGAGCAAAGAUCCAAUCUACUUGGUUAUGCGUUUGUUGUCGUGUGUUUUGGCUUGCUGCAUUAUCGACGUGUAUCUCAUGCCACGGCGCGGCGUUGUCCGCGUCUCCUCAAGCACGGCGCAGCAGCAACAGCCACCAUCGUCUCUCCCCGUGCACACGUAGCAGCACAACAAGAAGGAAGCAAGCAAGGUGAUUCUGGUGGAUGUGUUUUGGCUUGCUGCAUCAUCGACGUGUAUCUCGCAACAGCCCCCAACCUGGCAGGGGGUAAACGGCGCGUAGCAGUACAACAAGAAGGAAGCAAGCAAGGUGAUUCUGGCUGCAGCAGCAACAGCCACCAUCGUCCUCCCCGUGCACGCGUAGCAGUACAACAAGAAGGAAGCAAGCAAGGUGAUUCUGGCUUGCUGCAUCAUCGACGUGUAUCUCCUGCCACGUUGUGGCGUUGUCUGUGUCUCCUCAAGCAUGUCGCAGCAGCAACAGCCACCAUCGUCUCUCCCCGCGCACGCGUAGCAGUACAACAAGAAGGAAGCAAGCAAGGUGAUUCUGGCUUGCUGCAUCAUCGACGUGUAUCUCCUGCCACGGCGCGGCGUUGUCCGUGUCUCCUCAAGCACGACUCAGCAGCAACGGCCAUCAUCGUCUCUCCCCGUGCACGCGUAGCAGUACAACAAGAAAGAAGCAAGCAAGGUGAUUCUAGUGGAUGUGUCCUUUUUUGGUUUUCCUUCCUGUAAAUAGCAAAUCGGAAAUCAAGAUCUAUCAGUGCCACUGUGAUCACCCUAUGUAUUCUCCUUAGGAUCAUGAUUUUUCCACAUGCUCUUCCCACAUGUAGGACAAAAAUUCAUCUCCUCAGUCUCCACGAAAUAACACACAAUCAUUCACGCAAAGCAUGAAUCUUCACGUAGUCUAAGCCAAGUUCCUGAACAACCUUUCGAACUUUAUCCAAAGUAUUUGGAACACAAUGUCCUUCAGGGAGCAAUAGACCGAACAAGUGAAGUAUAUGCUCCAUGGCAUUGGUGCUAAUUCUGAACAUGCAUUUAAUCUGAAAUAGCCGGACAAUGAAAGAUACUUUGGUUACCUCCUUGCAACCUGUUUCUUUCGCGCUUUAUCCAAUAAUUUGAAAAAACUCUUUGCUGAUUCAUUCGGCUCCUCGGUAUUGCCUUUUGUAAUUUCUCCAUGUAUAGCACCUCUAAUUAGCGAGGAAAUCAAAUUAUUGACAGAGCCACCAUCAGUAGUAUCACCUUCAGCAAAAUUCUGAUCAUCAUUCAUAAUUGUAGGGUCGACGUGAUGAUGACGUUUCUGUUUGAUGAAAU